Molecule: long non-coding RNA, 396 nt
Filed under: Ananas comosus (pineapple)
Lineage: Eukaryota; Viridiplantae; Streptophyta; Magnoliopsida; Poales; Bromeliaceae
Description: long non-coding RNA (ACOM_LNC038233)
Source: RNAcentral
AUUUUAGGAAAUGAUUCAAAAAAUUUUGAAAAUAAGGCAAUACUAUAUUUUUUAUUUCUUUCCUUGUUGAUUCCUUGUCCUUUAAGGAAAAUAGCAAUCAAAUCACAAUUUAUUUUCUUUCCUUCUACAUCCCAAUUUGAAUUCGAAUUCAAAUUUUUUUAUCUCAAACAAUGGGCUGCUCGAUCGAUAAUUAAGUUCAGAACAGAAGUAUGAUAGAUUAUGUUCAGAAUAGAACAGCUCGGGAGUUAAAAGGAAGGGAAUUUUGUUUGUUUUCAGAUUUGGUAAUAAUAUUUCAUGCAAAAGUGUGUCGGCACAUAAGUAUUUUGUUACCAAGUGUUUGGCACGAGCCCAUGCGGCGGUACUUAAAUCCUUGAUAUCUGCAGUAAUAUAGUGUUU